RNAcentral lists this transfer RNA (72 nucleotides) under Immersiella caudata. Its description in RNAcentral is "Cercophora caudata tRNA". It matches the Rfam family "tRNA". Rfam says of the family: Transfer RNA (tRNA) molecules are approximately 80 nucleotides in length. Their secondary structure includes four short double-helical elements and three loops (D, anti-codon, and T loops). Lineage: Eukaryota; Fungi; Ascomycota; Sordariomycetes; Sordariales; Lasiosphaeriaceae. The record is from Rfam by way of RNAcentral.
GGUCUCGUGGCGCAACGGUAGCGCGUUCGACUCCAGAUCGAAAGCUUAUCCGUUCAAAUCGGGUCGGGGUCA